AUGAGGCUUUGGCUCCAUGUAAUGUUCCUUGCAGUGGCUUUGGAAGGUGUCCGGUCCCAGGUGCAGCUGGUGGAGUCCGGAGGGGAUGUGAAAAAGCCCGGAGACUCUCUCCGCCUCUCCUGCAAAGCCUCCGGGUUCACCUUCAGCAGCUCCGCUAUGAGCUGGGUCCGGCAGGCUCCCGGGAAGGGGCUGGAAUGGGUCUCACUCAUUUACACUGAUGGGAGCCAACAAUUUUACGCAGACUCAGUGAAAGGCCGAUUCACCAUCUCUAGAGACAACCCCAACAACCUGCUGUAUCUGCAAAUGACCGGCCUGAAGCCCGAGGACACCGCCCGGUAUCACUGUGCGGGACACACAGUGAGGGGAAGCCGGGCUGAGCUCAGACAAAAACCUGCCCUCGCUGGCUAA
This is a non-coding RNA of Malaclemys terrapin pileata, 408 nucleotides long. Lineage: Eukaryota; Metazoa; Chordata; Testudines; Emydidae. The record is from the annotation of a RefSeq genome assembly.